AGAGUUUGAUCCUGGCUCAGAUUGAACGCUGGCGGCAUGCUUUACACAUGCAAGUCGAACGGUAACGCGGGGGCAACCCUGGCGACGAGUGGCGAACGGGUGAGUAACACAUCGGAACGUAUCCUGAAGUGGGGGAUAACCUAUCGAAAGGUAGGCUAAUACCGCAUACGCUCGGGAGAGGAAAGCGGGGGAUCGGCAACGACCUCGCGCUUGUGGAGCGGCCGAUGUCCGAUUAGCUAGUUGGUGGGGUAAAGGCUUACCAAGGCGACGAUCGGUAGCUGGUCUGAGAGGAUGAUCAGCCACACUGGGACUGAGACACGGCCCAGACUCCUACGGGAGGCAGCAGUGGGGAAUUUUGGACAAUGGGGGCAACCCUGAUCCAGCCAUGCCGCGUGAGUGAAGAAGGCCUUCGGGUUGUAAAGCUCUUUCGGUGGGAACGAAACGGUUACGGCUAACACCCGUGAUCAAUGACGGUACUCACAGAAGAAGCACCGGCUAACUACGUGCCAGCAGCCGCGGUAAUACGUAGGGUGCGAGCGUUAAUCGGAAUUACUGGGCGUAAAGCGUGCGCAGGCGGUGGCUCAAGCCAGGCGUGAAAUCCCCGGGCUUAACCUGGGAAUGGCGUUUGGGACUGGGUCGCUAGAGUGUGGCAGAGGGAGGUGGAAUUCCACGUGUAGCAGUGAAAUGCGUAGAGAUGUGGAGGAACACCGAUGCGAAAGCAGCCUCCUGGGCCAGCA
This 737-nucleotide ribosomal RNA is filed under the name uncultured bacterium. RNAcentral describes it as "bacterial SSU rRNA". It matches the Rfam family "Bacterial small subunit ribosomal RNA", at positions 8 to 739 of the family's 1533-position model. The record is from RNAcentral.